Molecule: ribosomal RNA, 387 nt
Filed under: uncultured bacterium
Lineage: Bacteria
Description: bacterial SSU rRNA
Rfam family: Bacterial small subunit ribosomal RNA
Source: RNAcentral
GACGAACGCUGGCGGCGUGCUUAACACAUGCAAGUCGAGCGGUAAGGCCCUUUCGGGGGUACACGAGCGGCGAACGGGUGAGUAACACGUGGGUGACCUGCCCUUAGCUCUGGGAUAAGCCUGGGAAACUGGGUCUAAUACCGGAUAUGACUCCAUGACGCAUGUUGUGGGGUGGAAAGCCUUGUGCGGCUAGGGAUGGGCCCGCGGCCUAUCAGCUUGUUGGUGGGGUGACGGCCUACCAAGGCGACGACGGGUAGCCGGCCUGAGAGGGCGACCGGCCACACUGGGACUGAGACACGGCCCAGACUCCUACGGGAGGCAGCAGUGGGGAAUCUUGCGCAAUGGGCGAAAGCCUGACGCAGCGACGCCGCGUGAGGGAUGACGGCC